CAAUUUAGGGAUAGAGAUAUUGUUCAGUGGUGAUGAUAAGAUAUACUAGUAUAUUAUAACUCUUUUUAACUAGCCAAUAACUUACAUUUAGGGAUUAUGUACACAUCUAGAUUGGAUUAGUUUAUUUUUCAGGCUCUGUUCUAAGUGAAUAAUUUAAAUAAUAGAGGACCAUUCAGCAUAAUUACUAUCCAUAACAGUUCUUCAAUAUCUUAAUUCAUGUGCCAUUCUUGUCUAUGAAUUUUAGUUUUGCAUAUGUUUUUUUUUUUUUGCCCAAAGAGCUGAAAAGCUCAGGCUUUAGAGUUAGACACACCUAGCUUUUGGGAACAGCUGUGCAACUUUGGCAGCAUGGUAACCUUGGGCAAGUUCGAUCUUCUCUGCCUCUCAGUGUCCUCAUCUGUCUUAAAACUAUACCUCUUCCUCCCCUCACAGGAUAAUUGUAUAAAUUAUUUUGUACUGUAUUUGGUACACAAUUGACACCUAGUAAAUGGUAAGAGUCAUAAUUAGGCUUUUAUAUUUUAAACUGUCAAAUCUUUGACACAUUGUGGGCCAGUGGUUCUUUCAACACAGUAAUAAAAUGAAGAGGGAUGCAGCAGCACACUUUGAUUUAAAGUGAUGGGAAGAUAAUGUGUAAUUAAAAUAGACAAUAAUGAAGAGAGAAACUUGGUAGUUCUCUGAUUAGGCUGGGCCUGAUGUAAAUAAGUGCCACACUUAUUUUACCAGCUUGGUACAGAUUCUAAAGCUCGAUGAAGUGGGAAUAAUUAUGAAAUACAGGGGUUAGUUUGACUGAGCAAUCCCACUCUAGGGCAUAUGACCGGAUAAAACUUUCCUUAAAAAAGACACCUGCAUGCUCAUGUUCAUUGCAGCACUAUUCACAAUAGCCAAGACAAUUUUUUUCCUACUAUACAGCAUUGUGACCCAGUUACACAUAUAUAUAUGCAUUCUUCUUUCUCCCAUUAUCAUGUCUGGUCACUUAUGAUGGAGCAUGAUAAUUAUUAGGAGUUUCGAAUUUUUCUUUUCUUUGCUGGAGAAAUCAAGAGACUUUUAACACCUUGCUAAAUACUCUGUAAACUCAGCUUCCAAUGGGGUUUUAGGAGAGUAGAAAUGAUUUUUCUUUUUAUUAGUUCUUUGAAUAUGUUUCCAGUAAAAAAUAUUAUUAAUAAAAUAAAUAUCGUACGUGCAUAUAGGUAUAUGUGUACUUCUAACAGCCUCCUACCAGAAUUCCAAAGAGUAUAUCUUGGCAACUAUGGUAGAUAGCAUGUGAUUAUACUUUUACUAAAGCAAAAAAUUUGACUAAAUCUCAUUUGAGAGAGUACAUUACAGUAAAAUUUCUCUUAAAACUACUUGUUUGACAGAAUAAAUAUUUUUUUAAAAUUUCUGUUGAUAGUGAAAUAAAUUAAAUAGGAAGGAAUUUGAAAAUAAAGGUAAACAUUCUAGAAAACAACCAUGUUUUUUCUUUAGUGAAUAUAAUUUUCAUUGAAGGUAGAUAUUCCUAUUACCUGAAUGAUAGUCACAUCUCCAUAUAUCAGAACUUUAAUGUUUACUUCUCCAUCAUAUCUUUUGAGUCCCUUCUCUUUUAUGAAACUGAAAUAAAAAUAACCUGUAGGACUCUUUCCUUCUUAAAUCAAUAUAUUUGUAAAUAGCCAUUUUCUUAUUAAUAGCACAUUCACUUUUAAAGUAAAAUUUUAUUAAUUUCUGACUAUAUAAAGAAAUAAAUAUCAUUAAGAAAAAUAUACUGAAGGAAAGGAAAAUCACUAAUUACCUCAUUGUGUAAAAUAUUAACAAUGCUCAUUGAUACCCUAUAAUUACUGUACUCAAAAUUAUGUGUUAAUGAAUCAAUAUGUUUUGCAUGUUUUCUUUCAGGAGUUUCUCAAUAGGAGAUAAUAAUAACAGUAAUAAUAAUAAUGUUAAAUUGGAAUCAAGGCAAAUAGAUGUCUUUGAAUUCUUCUUUUGGGUCUUAUUUUUUUUUGCUUAAUUUAGUUUCAAGUAUGUUUCUAACAACUAAAAAUUUAUCAAAAAUAUAAUUUAAUUACCAAAAAUUAUUCCCAGCAAUGAUUUUUGACAAAACUUAUUUACUCAUACUCUUAUUUUCAGGCAUUCAAUUCUAAUAUUUCCUUUUUUUAGAAUAUAUAAUGUCACAGUGAAAACCUUUAAAUAUAAGUGAUUAUCUGCACCUUAGGUCUGUUUAGUUUCCAACUCCUAGUGUUUGAAAAAACCACAUUUAAUAAUUUUCUAUGAACCUAAGUAAAGUACAAGAAAUUGAGUAUAUCCUUUAACAAUCAACCUAGUCAAAAUUAUAAGAAUGAUUUCCUCUUAUAAGCAGUCAUAGAUUUCAAUCAUGUCCUAGUUACAAAACAAAGGAAUGGUAGUUAAGGCUUAUGUAAUACAUUCUAAAAAUCAUUUUAAUUCUCAUAAUAUAAAGGAUAUAUUUAAAAAUAGUCAUGAAGGACAGAUUAAUAGAUAUUUUAUUUUAUUCCCCAGUCAGUAUGGUUACAUUUUAACACCUGCUGUUCACAAAGUUCAAUAGAUAGUUAAUAUAUAGCAAGAAUUCCAAAUGAGUUUUGAGAAAUCUGUUUUGAGGGGAUUAGAGAAAAGUUCACAUCUGACUUACUAAUGAGUUGAUUUUAGUUAAUGUGAAAUUCUGGUUGAAUGUAAAUUAAUUUAUCACCUACUCUAUGAGUUGCAAACAAAUUCUUCUCCUUUUUGUUCUGUAAUUUGUCUAUGUAAUAUUGAAACUAUUCAAUGAUUUAGCAGAAAAUAGGCAUAUUUAAUCACUUUAAUUUCUCCAGCCAAAAUUAUUGCAGUCAAUUAACUCAAUCAACAAUUUUAUCCUCCAAUAUGCCAUGCACUUUGGGCCACUUGACUGCUCCUGGAAUUUUAUGGACAAUCUACUAAGACAAAUAAAGGAUUUAAAAGUGCACAUCACAAUUCUAAUGUGAAAUUUUGCAUAUUAUAAAUUUUCUAAUCAAAAUAUUCAGUUAUCAGGAACAUAAAGUAGAAGGUAAAAGCAAUUUAAAGUCAGACCCAAAGUCAUCCUCUUAUCUUUUUACAUUACAUAUAAUGUAAAAGCAAGGUAGUUUUAUUUAAUAUGAAACAUUUUUAUAAAACAAAGUAAUUAUUUCAUUCUAUUACAUUACUUUUCAAGGAAUUCAAUCUAAUGCAAUUCUAUUAAGUGUAUUGCUUACACAUAAUGUAUUUUAAGAUUACAAGGUAGACUAAUACAUUGUAAUUAUAAGUCAGAGUACCUUAGAGUUAAUGUAUUUCUGUGGCUUUUGGAGAUAUACUUCUAUAUUCAUUAGUUAUAAAAGUAAAAAAGAUGGCAGAGUGCAUGAACUUGUGCCUAAGUUUGAAGGAGUUAUAAGAUAUUACUAGGUAUGUUUCUCAGAUCCAGAAAAGGUCCCAUUUUUGUUCUAGUCAUAAUUAGGAAACUUGGUUGUUAAUCAAGUUUGUAAAAACCCAGAGAUGAAAUAUGCCUCAUUAUUCAGCCUCUCAUUCCCCUUCAGAGCAUUCAGUCCUUACCCUCUUCUGUCUGUAAAAUUAAUAGCCUUUUGUAGGGACUCUUCUUUUGUAGGGACUCUUAUAAAUCUAAAAUUCUAUUGAUUUUCUUUACAAAAACAUAGUGAAUAUAAAAACCUAGAUGAAGAGGCAGCUGGGGGCAGUGAGUACAACCUCCAGGUUAUGGUCAGAAUCUUGCUCUGCUAUUGAAAAAUUAUUUGACCUUCAGUUUCAGUGUGAUUACUUUUAAAUGACAGUCUCAAGAUCUCUGAGUUUUACUUUUUGCCUAAGAACCACAAAAAUGAUAUAGGGACUUUGAUUCUCUUAGGCAAAAAAAAAAAAAAAAAAAAAGGGAGAUAUGUGAAUUCUGUGAAUUGGUAUUGCGUAACAUGGUUUCCAUCACUUGCUAUUAAUUUACUUUUUUUUUUUUUGGUCUUCUGUCUUUUUUAGGGCUGCACCCAUGACAUAUGGAGAUUGCCAGGCUAGGGGCUGAAUUGGAGCUGCAGCUGCUGGCCUAAACCACAGCCACAGCAACACUGGAUCCAAGUUGCUCUUGUGACCUACACCAGAGCUCACGGCAAUGCUGGAUCCUUAACCCACUGAGCGGGGCCAGGGGUCAAACACUCAUCCUCAUGGAUAGUAGCUGGGUUUGUUAACCACUGAGCCACAAUGGGAAUUCCUAAUUUGCUUUCUGAUAGCCCAUGUUUUUAAACAUUAGACAUUGUUUUCUUUUGUAUUGAGAUUUUGGGAUUAACAUUGCACACUACUAUAUAUGGAAUGAAUGGUCAAUAGGGACCUUCUCUUAAAUACAGGGCUACUCAAUAUUCUGUGAUAAUCUAUAUGGUAUAAGAAUCUGGAAAAAUGGAUAUGUGUUCAUGUAUAAUGGAAUCACUUUGUCGUACAGCAGAAAUUAAUACACCAGUGUAAAUCAACAAUACUUCAAUAAAAUUUUUAAAAAUUAAAAAUAUAUUGUUCUCAAUGUAUAAAAAUAUAACCAUAAUUCUUACUAAUAGUCAAGUAUUUCAUAUAUUUUACUUGCUUUCAUUGUUUUAUUCCUUUGAUUAUUUUAUUGAAGUAUAGUUGAUUUACAAUGUUGUCUUAAUUUUGCUGAACAGCAAAGUGAUUCAACUUUAUAUAUUAUUUUCCAUUAUACAGUUACAAGAUUUUUAAUAUCAUUCCUUGUGCUAUACAGUAGAAACUUGUUAUUGCUCCUUGGAUUUUUUUUUUUAAUUAUAGUUGAGGGAGUUCUCAUUGUGUCUCAGUAGUUAACAAACCCACUUGGAUCCAUGAGGAUGCAGGUUCAAUCCCUGGCCUUGCUCAGUGGUUAAAGGAUCCAGUGUUGCUGUGAGCUGUGAUGCAGGUUACAGAUGCUGCUCAGAUACCACAUUGCUGUGGCAUAGGCCGGCAGCUGUAGCUCUGAUUCGACCCCUAGCCUGGGAACUUCUAUAUGCAACAGGUGCAUGGAACCCUAAAAAA
RNAcentral lists this long non-coding RNA (4968 nucleotides) under Sus scrofa (pig). RNAcentral's name for it is "lncRNA (ENSSSCG00015020813.1)". Lineage: Eukaryota; Metazoa; Chordata; Mammalia; Artiodactyla; Suidae. The record is from RNAcentral.